RNAcentral lists this transfer RNA (73 nucleotides) under uncultured marine group II/III euryarchaeote AD1000_39_H06. RNAcentral describes it as "tRNA-Gln". It matches the Rfam family "tRNA". From Rfam's summary of the family: Transfer RNA (tRNA) molecules are approximately 80 nucleotides in length. Their secondary structure includes four short double-helical elements and three loops (D, anti-codon, and T loops). The record is from RNAcentral. Lineage: Archaea; Methanobacteriati; Methanobacteriota. RNAcentral also lists the same sequence under 3 other names.
AGUCCCGUGGUGUAGUGGUCCAUCAUACCGGGUUUUGGUCCCGGUGACGGAGGUUCGAAUCCUCCCGGGACUA